Molecule: ribosomal RNA, 492 nt
Filed under: uncultured bacterium
Lineage: Bacteria
Description: partial 16S ribosomal RNA
Rfam family: Bacterial small subunit ribosomal RNA
Source: RNAcentral
AGUGAACGCUGGCGGUAGGCCUAACACAUGCAAGUCGAACGGCAGCACAGUAAGAGCUUGCUCUUACGGGUGGCGAGUGGCGGACGGGUGAGGAAUACAUCGGAAUCUACUUUUUCGUGGGGGAUAACGUAGGGAAACUUACGCUAAUACCGCAUACGACCUACGGGUGAAAGCAGGGGAUCUUCGGACCUUGCGCGAUUGAAUGAGCCGAUGUUGGAUUAGCUAGUUGGCGGGGUAAAGGCCCACCAAGGCGACGAUCCGUAGCUGGUCUGAGAGGAUGAUCAGCCACACUGGAACGGAGACACGGUCCAGACUCCUACGGGAGGCAGCAGUGGGGAAUAUUGGACAAUGGGCGCAAGCCUGAUCCAGCCAUACCGAGUGGGUGAAGAAGGCCUUCGGGUUGUAAAGCCCUUUUGUUGGGAAAGAAAAGCAGCAGGUUAAUACCCCGCUGUUCUGACGGUACCCAAAGAAUAAGCACCGGCUAACUUCGUG